GACGAACGCUGGCGGCGUGCCUAAUACAUGCAAGUAGAACGCUGAAGAGAGGAGCUUACUCUUCUUGGAUGAGUUGCGAACGGGUGAGUAACGCGUAGGUAACCUGCCUUGUAGCGGGGGAUAACUAUUGGAAACGAUAGCUAAUACCGCAUAACAAUGGAUGACACAUGUCAUUUAUUUGAAAGGGGCAAUUGCUCCACUACAAGAUGGACCUGCGUUGUAUUAGCUAGUAGGUGAGGUAAUGGCUCACCUAGGCGACGAUACAUAGCCGACCUGAGAGGGUGAUCGGCCACACUGGGACUGAGACACGGCCCAGACUCCUACGGGAGGCAGCAGUAGGGAAUCUUCGGCAAUGGGGGCAACCCUGACCGAGCAACGCCGCGUGAGUGAAGAAGGUUUUCGGAUCGUAAAGCUCUGUUGUAAGUCAAGAACGGGUGUGAGAGUGGAAAGUUCACACUGUGACGGUAGCUUACCAGAAGGGGACGGCUAACUACGUG
Molecule: ribosomal RNA, 497 nt
Filed under: uncultured bacterium
Lineage: Bacteria
Description: partial 16S ribosomal RNA
Rfam family: Bacterial small subunit ribosomal RNA
Source: RNAcentral